AUGGAAAAGAGGGUGAUUUGGAUGGCCGCGCAAGAUAUUCAGCAAACGCCGACCAAAUUAGCUAAUUUUGAUGGGAGACCAUUGGGAACAUAUGUCCACGCCACCCACAUCCACCUGGCAACUGCCUGUGUCGGUUGCCAUCGUCGGUCUACCACGAGCCCACGACGUACCCAUCCGCAUCUGCAUCGCCUUGAGGCCACAGCAGCAUCCCUGCCCUCCUGCCCCUGCUGGCAGCGGCGACCCUCGGCAUAUCGGUGCAGCAACACUGCUCCCAUGUGUUGGCCUCGCUGUCUCAUCUCCUCUCUCUUAUGUUUGGGUCUGAUGUUAGUGUGA
Molecule: ribosomal RNA, 333 nt
Filed under: Triticum aestivum (bread wheat)
Lineage: Eukaryota; Viridiplantae; Streptophyta; Magnoliopsida; Poales; Poaceae
Description: partial small subunit ribosomal RNA
Source: RNAcentral